Long non-coding RNA from Xiphophorus couchianus (Monterrey platyfish), 1309 nucleotides. RefSeq lists it as uncharacterized. NCBI's taxonomy places the organism in Eukaryota, Metazoa, Chordata, Actinopteri, Cyprinodontiformes, Poeciliidae. The record is from RefSeq and is a predicted model, not a curated record. The transcript has 2 exons.
AUGAUAUGGAAUGUUGGCUGUCUUGUGGCCCCGCCUUCCGUCCCCACUGAACUGCUGUUGCCCAUAAUGAUUUUAUAAACAUUUUGCCAGCAGAUCAAUACCUGUAUUGAUCAGGCAUUGUGAGAGUGAUCCGUCUAAAACCCAGAACAGCCUAGAGCUCAGAGGUGGGAGGAGCAAAAGAGAGAGGCUGCAUAGAGGAUGGCAAAGGAGAGCGAGUCUGCAACCACAGUGAAAAGGAAAAGAGGUGGAAGGUUGGAAGAGACUGAGGGAGAGGCGGACGCAGAGAUGGAAGCAGGUGAGGAUGCAGAUUUCGGAAAAUGCUGCUAGGCCGUUGGGACUAAGGAAAACAAAUGAAAGAAACUCUUGAAGAAGAGACGGAGGCAUCUGAGAGCACACUGCGGCUCUAAAUCUAAUUGCUGCAAAAUGAUCAAAACUUACAUUUCCUGAAACAUUCUUAACAUUCAGGAGAGGAAUAAUUCCACAUCAUCAUUAUGGAAGAAGAACUGCAAAAGCAUGUAAAGGCGAUGUUAAUACCAAAGACAAACAUGGCAGUAUGAAGACCAUCUUCAACAUACAGGAUUGCUGCCGCUUUGUAAACACGUGGAUGGCUGGCUUUUUGGAUUACUUUUUACUGUCUGGGAAUUCACUAAAUUGGAUGAUUGCUUUACAUUUAAAACACAAGUAGGAGAUUUAUUGAAGCGAUGACUCACUGGAUGACUCAACACAAGUUCAAGGCCACAAUCUGCCCUGCGCUGGAGGACAAGUCAAAAGCUUUUGCUGUGAUUCCCUCGUGCUGUGGGGAAAUCAAGUUUCAUUGAUUGGUUUUUAAAUAAGAUGUGUUGUGCAUAAAUGAGGAUCUGAAGGAAGAUGAAUUCCUCAAACGAACUGUAGGGAAAGACCUUGAUGCACAUGAACUCAUGUGCUCUGGAGACUAGUGUGGAAGCACUCAAUGAAAAGGCCUGAUGGCUCAUGCCUCCCUGACCACGCUAAAAAACAAAAAACAAAAAGGACUUUGGCUUAUCAAGGCUUAUUAAGGGCAAGAGACACUUGUAAACAAUUUUCCUAAUGAAUUAACAAAAAACACACAUUGCACAUCUCAGAGGAUAAAGGAUUUAUGGUGACUUUUAAAUUUUGAUAAAAUUUUAUCAGCUGACCUUUUGUGUAUCUUGUCACCUUUCAAACAAAGCAUUUUCCAGAGAUUUUAUGUACUGUAGUAGACCAAUACAAAUGAUGCAUUAUUGUGAGCCAAAAGGAAAAGGAUAGAAAGACUACACAAAUAAAAAUCUGAGAACUACGGUGUGUAUUUGAA